RNAcentral lists this ribosomal RNA (492 nucleotides) under Gallotia stehlini (Gran Canaria giant lizard). RNAcentral describes it as "partial 16S ribosomal RNA". It matches the Rfam family "Bacterial large subunit ribosomal RNA", at positions 1912 to 2606 of the family's 2925-position model. The record is from RNAcentral. Lineage: Eukaryota; Metazoa; Chordata; Lepidosauria; Squamata; Lacertidae.
GUGAUAUUUUUAAACGGCCGCGGUAUCCUAACCGUGCAAAGGUAGCAUAAUCACUUGUCCCCUAAAUAGGGACUAGUAUGAACGGCUAAAUGAGGACUUUGCUGUCUCUUUCCGCCAGUCAAUGAAACUGAUCUCCCAGUCCAAAAGCUGGGAUAACAACAUAAGACAAAAAGACCCUGUGGAGCUUAAAACCAAAACCACCAAAAUGUCCACUUGGUUUUCAGUUGGGGCGACUUCGGAACAAAGACAAACCUCCGAAAAUAAUGGAACCCUCCAUAUCAAGACCUACACGCCAAAAUAAUCUUAAACUUGACCCAGACCCCUUCAAGUCUGACCAAUGAACCAAGUUACCCCAGGGAUAACAGCGCCAUCUUCUUUUAGAGUCCAUAUCAACAAGAAGGUUUACGACCUCGAUGUUGGAUCAGGACACCCCAAUAGUGCAGCCGCUAUUAAAGGUUCGUUUGUUCAACGAUUAACAGUCCUACGUGAUCU